RNAcentral lists this ribosomal RNA (482 nucleotides) under uncultured bacterium. Its description in RNAcentral is "partial 16S ribosomal RNA". It matches the Rfam family "Bacterial small subunit ribosomal RNA", at positions 30 to 506 of the family's 1533-position model. The record is from RNAcentral.
UUGAACGCUGGCGGCAGGCCUAACACAUGCCAGUCGAGCGGAUGAAGGGAGCUUGCUCCUGGAUUCAGCGGCGGACGGGUGAGUAAUGCCUAGGAAUCUGCCUGGUAGUGGGGGAUAACGUCCGGAAACGGGCGCUAAUACCGCAUACGUCCUGAGGGAGAAAGUGGGGGAUCUUCGGACCUCACGCUAUCAGAUGAGCCUAGGUCGGAUUAGCUAGUUGGUGGGGUAAAGGCCUACCAAGGCGACGAUCCGUAACUGGUCUGAGAGGAUGAUCAGUCACACUGGAACUGAGACACGGUCCAGACUCCGACGGGAGGCAGCAGUGGGGAAUAUUGGACAAUGGGCGAAAGCCUGAUCCAGCCAUGCCGCGUGUGUGAAGAAGGUCUUCGGAUUGUAAAGCACUUUAAGUUGGGAGGAAGGGCAGUAAGUUAAUACCUUGCUGUUUUGACGUGACCAACAGAAUAAGCACCGGCUAACUUCGU